Molecule: ribosomal RNA, 410 nt
Filed under: Myriophora lucigaster
Lineage: Eukaryota; Metazoa; Arthropoda; Insecta; Diptera; Phoridae
Description: partial 16S ribosomal RNA
Source: RNAcentral
CCUGCCCACUGAAUUUUUUUUAAAUGGCCGCAGUAUCCUAACUGUGCAAAGGUAGCAUAAUCAUUAGUCUUUUAAUUGAAGGCUGGAAUGAAUGGUUGGAUGAAAUAUUAACUGUUUCAUAAAAAUUUAUAAUAGAAUUUUAUUUUUUAGUCAAAAAGCUAAAAUAUUCUUAAAAGACGAGAAGACCCUAUAAAUCUUUAUAUUUAGAAAAUUACAAUUAUUUAGAUAAUUUUAAUUUUAUUUUUUUUAAAUAUUUUAUUGGGGUGAUAUUAAAAUUUAAUAAACUUUUAAUUUAUUUUAAACAUAAAUUAAUGAAUUAUUGAUCCAUAGAUUAUGAUUAAAAAAUUAAGUUACUUUAGGGAUAACAGCGUAAUUUUUUUAGAGAGUUCAUAUUGAUAAAAAAGAUUGCG